CCUACGGGUGGCAGCAGUGGGGGAUAUUGGACAAUGGGGGAAACCCUGAUCCAGCGACGCCGCGUGAGUGAAGAAGUAUUUCGGUAUGUAAAGCUCUAUCAGCAGGGAAGAAAGAAAUGACGGUACCUGAGUAAGAAGCCCCGGCUAACUACGUGCCAGCAGCCGCGGUAAUACGGAGGGGGCAAGCGUUAUCCGGAAUUACUGGGUGUAAAGGGAGCGUAGACGGUAAUGCAAGUCUGGAGUGAAAGGCGGGGGCCCACCCCCGGGACUGCUCUGGAAACUGUGUAACUGGAGUGCAGGAGAGGCAGGCGGAAUUCCUAGUGUAGCGGUGAAAUGCGUAGAUAUUAGGAGGAACACCAGUGGCGAAGGCGGCCUGCUGGACUGUAACUGACGUUGAGGCUCGAAAGCGUGGGGAGCAAACAGGAUUAGAUACCCCAGUAGUC
Molecule: ribosomal RNA, 443 nt
Filed under: uncultured bacterium
Lineage: Bacteria
Description: partial 16S ribosomal RNA
Rfam family: Bacterial small subunit ribosomal RNA
Source: RNAcentral